This is a long non-coding RNA of Dicentrarchus labrax (European seabass), 1051 nucleotides long. RefSeq lists it as uncharacterized. The record is from RefSeq and is a predicted model, not a curated record. NCBI's taxonomy places the organism in Eukaryota, Metazoa, Chordata, Actinopteri, Moronidae. The transcript is spliced from 2 exons.
AACGCAAAACAGUUUAGGCCACUCCUGCUCACACACACAGGAAGUGAAAUGGAGAAACGCAACUGAAGAACAGAAAAAAAAGAUCACACCUUUGGAGCUCUAGGUCACUUAUAGCUCACAGAGGCUUUCACUGCUGCCAAAACAAGGACUGCUGGGUAAUGGCUGCUCUCAGGGCUUUUCUCACUCUUUCUGCCUGCCUCCUGCUGGGUCAUCAAACGUUUGCUAAAAACGACGCUCCCUGCCAGCUCUCCAGAUGGAACAACGGCUACAACACCUUUGUCAAGCGCCACAUUCGCUCUGGCACUCCGACUUCUCUCAACCAGAACGAAUGGGAGAAGUAUAUCAGGAAUAACGGGGGCUGUGACAGACCCACGCAGUCCUUCCUCCAACCAAAAGACCUGGAGAGGGUGAAGGAUGUGUGCACAUACAAAGGGGGAACGAGGUACAAGGAGAACCUGUGCAUCAGCCGGGAGUCCUUCACUUUUGUCACGGUGAGGAGUGAACAGGGGACGUGCGGCAUCAGGAGUGUCCGAGAGGAGAACAAACAUCUGAUCUUGGCCUGCGAUGAGCUGGACAAUCAGUGCCUGCCAGUCCAUUUUGAGGGAAACCCUGAUAAUUUAAAGCCAAAUAACAACGCCAAAGGCUGCCAGGACCCACAAACUAGAGAUCAUGCUCCCAGCUUUAAAAUGCCGUGGCUCUGGUUGUUAUCUGCUCUUCUUGUUAUUAUUUGUGGCAAUUUUUUUUUUUUUACUUGAGAAACUUUAUAAGACAAUGAAGCUUUUAUGAGAGGACAUUCUCUCCUGAACACAUUUCAGCAAAACCUUUUAAUGUCUUGAAAUUUAAUUUGGAAAGUUUUAAAAAUUCACCAUCAGAUCAACAAUGUAUUUUUGGGAACAAUUCACUUUUUUUUAAAUGUAUCUUUGUAACAAAGGUUCCUACUGUUAUAAACUUGUGCCAAUGUAUGUGUCACUGUUGUAUGUAUUUUACAUUAAAGGGGCACAAAUACAAUUACCAAAGAAAAGGGAUUCAAUAAAAGAUUCAUCUGCACUAA